RNAcentral lists this ribosomal RNA (253 nucleotides) under uncultured bacterium. Its description in RNAcentral is "partial 16S ribosomal RNA". It matches the Rfam family "Bacterial small subunit ribosomal RNA", at positions 524 to 776 of the family's 1533-position model. The record is from RNAcentral.
UACGGGGGGGGUAAGCGUUGUUCGGAAUUACUGGGCGUAAAGGGCUCGUAGGCGGCCAACUAAGUCAGACGUGAAAUCCCUCAGCUUAACUGGGGAACUGCGUCUGAUACUGGUUGGCUUGAGUGCAGGAGAGGAACGCGGAAUUCCAGGUGUAGCGGUGAAAUGCGCAGAUAUCAGGAGGAACACCAAUGGCGAAGGCAGCUCGCUGGGACGGUACUGACGCUGAGGCGCGAAAGCGUGGGGAGCAAACAGG